CCUACGGGAGGCAGCAGUAGGGAAUCUUCCACAAUGGGCGAAAGCCUGAUGGAGCAACGCCGCGUGAGUGAUGAAGGCCUUCGGGUUGUAAAACUCUGUCAUUCGGGACGAACCGGAGUCUGAGGAAAUGCAGACUCUCUGACGGUACCGGAGGAGGAAGCCCCGGCUAACUACGUGCCAGCAGCCGCGGUAAUACGUAGGGGGCAAGCGUUGUCCGGAUUCACUGGGCGUAAAGCGCGCGCAGGCGGUGAUGUAAGUCUGAGGUGAAAACCCGAAGCUCAACUUCGGGACUGCCUUGGAUACUGCGUCACUUGAGGAUAGGAGAGGCAAGGGGAAUUCCACGUGUAGCGGUGAAAUGCGUAGAGAUGUGGAGGAACACCUGUGGCGAAGGCGCCUUGCUGGCCUAUUUCUGACGCUGAGGCGCGAAAGCGUGGGGAGCAAACAGGAUUAGAUACCCUGGUAGUCCACGCUGUAAACGAUGAGUGCUAGGUGUAGGUGGGCUCAUACCCAUCUGUGCCGAAGCUAACGCAUUAAGCNCNCGCCGNGGGAGGUACGGUCGCGAGACGAGAACGUACGAAAGGAAGUUAGACGGACGUUGGAGACGNGCCGACGGACGACACGAGGGGAGGUUAGG
RNAcentral lists this ribosomal RNA (634 nucleotides) under uncultured bacterium. RNAcentral's name for it is "bacterial SSU rRNA". The stretch from base 1 to 543 matches the Rfam family "Bacterial small subunit ribosomal RNA", at positions 338 to 873 of the family's 1533-position model. The record is from RNAcentral.